UUAAUGUUGAGCCCGGGAGAGAGAGGAAACGAGAGAAAAGGUCACCCUAAAUUCUCGAAGAGGAGAGCAAUCCUUGUUCGUUGGGCGUGGCAUCGCUGGAGGGCGAGAAAGGCGACAGAGAGACGGAGUCGCCCUCUCUCGUCUCUUCCGAUGCCGAUGCUCCCAUUAUUUGUCUCGUUUAAAUCUUUCCUGCGCAUCUGAGGUCGUACAUGCUCCAAGAACCCUUGUUAUCGGGCUCUCUUCGGGGUUCUUGGCUUCGAUACGAUCGGACUCUGGGUGUUCCUGGCGUAUUGCAGGCGGAUUUGCUGGAGGCUCGUUCUUGAGGGAUUUCUUGGAGGAAUUGAUUCCAUUUGGAGGCAUUUUGUGGUUCUUUAGGCCUCUCCAGCUUGUUCAAUUGCAGAGACCCCCCCACUUCUCGAGGAUGCUAGCAAUGGGGAAUGGCUCAAGUUACACUAAAUUUUCUCACCAUCAAACUUCUUUGAGGCACAGAUGAAGUGGCUAUGAGCCCUCUUAUACAGAAACAGAAUGGCAGGAAAGCCCUUGUCACGAGGGACCUUCACUUCAAACAAGCCUAGAACACCUGUCCUGCUAGAGCCAUCUGUCUCUUAAAACACAGUUGGAGGAACACUUUGAGGAGGAAAGCAGUGAUACCUCAGUGAAAGCUUUGAGAACUAGUCCAGCUGCCAGAAGGCAUGGUAGAUCUCCUUAGAAACCAAUUCUUUAGCAUACUAUGAUUUAAGAAGAAAUACCUGUCCUUAAAAUGUUUUAGAGCAUCUCCGGUAUGUUUCUGCUUAUAAGGACAAACAGAGGAGUCAGAUCAUGAAAAUUAAUGAGCUAAACAGCUCAUCCUGGAAUAGGAGUCAGAGAACUCCGCCAAAAUUUUAUAAUUCUGCAGAAAAUAAUGCUCAUUCACAACUUCAAGAAAUUUCAAGGGUGAGUGAGAGUUCAAACUACAGUAAUAACAUGCCAUGGUCUGCUCCAAAGCCAAGAGCAAGGGAACAAGAGCAGCAAAUUAAUUCUAAUUCUGCAGUUCAUGGCAUAGCCUGGAUCCUCUCACCACUAGUGAAAACCAAGGACCAUAAUAGGGAGGAUGGCACAUAUGCUAGAAGUCCUUACCCAAAGGAAAUAAAUGAGGUGAUUGUUUGUAGGAAGCUAUCUAGGUCUCCCUCUUAUGAUGUUCAUUUAACAAAGAGCCCACACUCAGUUUUAAUUGGCGAUAUCUUCUUUUUCCAUGAUUGCACAGUUCUGCGGAAAAAUUCUGCCAUAUACAAGCAACAAUAGAAAAAAACUUUGCUCCAAACUUAAGAGUGGUUUUAGAGAGAAAUACUCCUCUUCUUCAUCAGGGAAGUAGUGGGAUCGAGAGUUCUGAUCGGAAUUCUCAAGUCAUAUCAGCUAGUACUAUUCUUUAAUGAACAAAUGCAACCUCACAUUCUGCUGUUUGUCAGUUGAGUGGUGAUCAAACAAACACAAGCUCAAAUUCUGCUGUUGGUUGACUGAGCAGUAGUAGGUUUCGUGAUGGCGGUGGAAAAGCAGAAGUUUCAGAAAAUUCACUCCCAAGAUACAAAGAAGCCAAGCAGAUGCCUGGCUGUCGUGUCAGAAGAGGCUUAUUCAGAAAGGGAGUAACCAGAAUAUAGGGCAAUUAAUGAAGCUUCUUUUGUCGAGAAGGCAUUCGUGGUGGAAGAACUGAGAAUAUUCUGGCUGGUUAGCAUGGGCCCCGUUCAUCGAAUGAAUUCAUUUGUCACAAACAACAGAUGUAGCAUCUUAGACAAUUGGUAAGGUUUACAAGUUCUGCAUGUUACUUCUUUCUUGUAUUUCUUUUAAUUGUGAUUUUAGGUCAUGUUAGAUUUGUAGAGAUUUCAAGGACUAUUAGAAUGUAGUUUUCUUUUGAUAGAUUGUGGUAGUCUUAGUUACUGAAUACUCAAGAUUGUUGAAAAGCAGCAACUUGCAUGUGAUCCUUCCCA
Molecule: long non-coding RNA, 1961 nt
Organism: Phoenix dactylifera (date palm)
Lineage: Eukaryota; Viridiplantae; Streptophyta; Magnoliopsida; Arecales; Arecaceae
Source: RefSeq, a predicted model, not a curated record